Molecule: ribosomal RNA, 292 nt
Filed under: uncultured bacterium
Lineage: Bacteria
Description: partial 16S ribosomal RNA
Rfam family: Bacterial small subunit ribosomal RNA
Source: RNAcentral
GUGCCAGCCGCCGCGGUAAUACGGAGGAUCCAAGCGUUAUCCGGAAUCAUUGGGUUUAAAGGGUCCGUAGGCGGUUUUAUAAGUCAGUGGUGAAAUCCGGCAGCUUAACUGUCGAACUGCCAUUGAUACUGUAGGACUUGAAUUAUUGUGAAGUAACUAGAAUAUGUAGUGUAGCGGUGAAAUGCUUAGAUAUUACAUGGAAUACCAAUUGCGAAGGCAGGUUACUAACAAUACAUUGACGCUGAUGGACGAAAGCGUGGGUAGCGAACAGGAUUAGAAACCCGAGUAGUCC